Molecule: ribosomal RNA, 363 nt
Filed under: uncultured bacterium
Lineage: Bacteria
Description: bacterial SSU rRNA
Rfam family: Bacterial small subunit ribosomal RNA
Source: RNAcentral
AACGAACGCUAGCGGUAGGCCUAACACAUGCAAGUCGAACGGGCAUAUAGCUUGGCUUGCCAAGUUGUAUGUCAGUGGCAGACGGGUGAGUAAUACAUAGGAAUCUACCUGACAGUAAGGAAUAGUCACUAGAAAUGGUGAGUAAUACCAUAUACGCCCUGAGGGGGAAAGAUUUAUCGCUGUCAGAUGGGCCUAUGUUGGAUUAGCUAGUUGGUGAGGUAAAUGCUCACCAAGGCAACGAUCCAUAGCUGGCCUGAGAGGGUGAACAGCCACACUGGAACUGAGAUACGGUCCAGACUCCUACGGGAGGCAGCAGUGGGGAAUAUGGGCAAGUGGGCGAAAGCCUGACCCAGCCAUACCGCA